Molecule: long non-coding RNA, 1958 nt
Organism: Pecten maximus
Lineage: Eukaryota; Metazoa; Mollusca; Bivalvia; Pectinida; Pectinidae
Exons: 2
Source: RefSeq, a predicted model, not a curated record
CUGACAGAAAUUGUGAUGUGUUAAACGGGAGAUCUGAGCCUCAUAUUUACGACGAGGUUUCUGAGCCUAAAACUGAUCAUACCCGACCAUACAUCAACAUCGCCUUGACCGAGGAUAAGCAUACCUACAUAGAGGUCAUUGAGAACAACUGAUUGCAUUAACUUAUUUUUAUUAAAUCUGACAUGUAGAAAGGGCGUUAGAAAUGUACAUGUUGCCCUAAUUGCAUGCUUGUUAAAGACGACUAAAUGUUUGAUUUAAUCUUUUUUCUUCUUUCCUGAAAAAUAUUUUCUUCUUCCUUAUGUCUCCCUUGACAAUGCCUCACGUCUGGCCUUUAGUUGAGCGUUCGCCCCUGCGAGAAAGGCUUUUGGUUCUGUCCCAUGGGCGUUACAUAAUGGAGUCUUUAAAAACGCUAGUUGCUACUCCUGCUUAGCGGUCAGUAUGUUAGGAAUUGGACGACUUUUUUACCUGCUGUCAGUAUGAUGUGACCGGGUAGGGUGUCCUGCUGGAUAUCUUCGGCAGCAUGGUUCAGCGAGGUAGCACUAUAAAGUCGGCAUCAGUUCCGCACUCACACAAAGAGACGAACAGAUACCACAGUCUCCCAAACCACACACCAUAUACUUCACGCAUGCAUCUUGUACACAGAAAUGACCUUAUAUGUUUAUAGGACGCACUAAAAACUAAGCAAAACUAAAAAUCAUAUUGAAUCAAUGUACUUUUCCACAACCAUUUAGAGGUAGAUGUAUUUCUAAUGAUAACAAAUACCAUGGAAAACAGACUAAAUAUAGUAUUUACUUGUUACAACCGUGUAUAUAUCUUCCUCAUGCUGAAUUGUAUUACAGAAUGCAAACUAAAUUCGAUACUGUCAUGUUACAACCGUGUAUAUGUAUAUUCGUCAUGCUAAUUGAUAACAUAGUAAACAGACUGAAUUUGGUAUUGUCACAUUACAACCGUGUAUAUGUAUUCCUCAUAUUUAUUGAUGUCAUAGAAAACUUAGACUUAAAUCGAAAGAACGAAUAAACUUUUAGUUGACAAAAUCAUUGUUCAGUGUGGUGGCAAGAUUACUGGAAUAUCCAUUUAAAAAUUUGGUUAUAAAAGAAGCCUCAUAGUUAAAAUAGACAGUUAUGAGUUAGCUUCCUAAUUAAACUACAUAGUUAUAAACUAGCUCCCUAGUUAAAAUAGAUAGUUAUGAGUUAGCUUCCUAAUUAAACUAAAUAGAUAUAAACUAGCUCCCUAGUUAAACAAGAUAGUUAUAAACUGACAUCCUACUUAAACUAGACAGUUACAAACUAAUCUCUUAAUUCAACUAGAUUUGUAUCAACUAGACCCCUAGUUAAAACACCUUUGAACUCUAUCAUCACUGAGGAGCCAUGGAAAGACGAAACCACUGUAAGAUACAUUUUAAUUCUUGGUAUCAACACUUUUGCCGCUUAGAAUCACUGAUGAGUCCUAGAAGGACGGAAGCUGUAGGAUUUAGUUUAAUUCUACGUAUCAAAGGUGUUAGGACCUUAGCAUCUAAACGAUAAAAAAAGAUGUAUGGUGGUCUUAUCGUCAGUGACUCGUCCUAGAAGUUCUGAACAGUUGUUUGAUGUCCCUAAUAUCUCUGACGAGUCCUAGAAGGAUGGAACUGUUGUAUGACGUCCCUAGCAUCUAUGAUGAGUCCUACAUUGACGGAACUGCUGUAUGGAAUCCCUAACAGCACUGACGAGUCCUAGAAGUAGGGAACAGCUGUAUGAUGUCCCUAACAGCAUUGGCGAGUCCUAGAAGUACGGUACAACUGUAUGAUGUCCCUAACAGCACUGACGAGUCCUAGAAGUAGGGAACAACUAUAUGAUGUCCCUAACAGCAUUGGCGAGUCCUAGAAGUAGGGAACAACUAUAUGAUGUCCCUAAGCCUUUGACUUUGUUAAUCGCAAAACUUGUUGUAUAAAAUGAUUAAGGAAGGGAUUGAGGGGAAAUAUU